UACGGAGGAUGCGAGCGUUAUCCGGAUUUAUUGGGUUUAAAGGGUGCGCAGGCGGCGUGUCAAGUCAGCGGUAAAAUGUCGGGGCUCAACCCCGGCCGGCCGUUGAAACUGGCGUGCUCGAGUUGGAGAGAAGUAUGCGGAGUUCGUGGUGUAGCGGUGAAAUGCAUAGAUAUCACGAAGAACCCCGAUUGCGAAGGCAGCAUACCGGCUCCACACUGACGCUGAGGCACGAAAGCGUGGGUAUCGAACAGG
This 252-nucleotide ribosomal RNA is filed under the name uncultured bacterium. RNAcentral's name for it is "partial 16S ribosomal RNA". It matches the Rfam family "Bacterial small subunit ribosomal RNA", at positions 524 to 776 of the family's 1533-position model. The record is from RNAcentral.